GCGGCUCCUCCCACUCCGGCACCCAAGCCCAAGGCCAAGGCCCCUGCCGCAGCACCGCCCGCCAAGGCAACCGCGCCUGCCCCCGCAGCGCUCCCUCCCACCGUCGAGGCGCCCGCGGCCGCCGCGCCAACUCUCUUCCCCGACGUGCCUGCGGCCGCACCAACUCUCUUCCCUGACGUGCCUUCCGCCGCGCCGGCCCCGUUGACCAAGCCCACCGACGCCCCCGCGCCGGCGCCAUCAAAGAAGAAGCGCUCGUCCAAGGACAAGAAGAAGACCAAGGCGCCCGCGCCCGCCCCGGUCGCUGCGGCCCCCGUCAAAGCCAA
Molecule: long non-coding RNA, 323 nt
Filed under: Hordeum vulgare
Lineage: Eukaryota; Viridiplantae; Streptophyta; Magnoliopsida; Poales; Poaceae
Description: long non-coding RNA (HVUL_LNC017647)
Source: RNAcentral